UAAAAGUGAACAUAAAAACUUGAAUAAGCAUUGAAAUAAUCAAUUCAAACAACACUGUAUCUUUCAGAGAUUUUAUGGAGAGCAUUGAGAAUAUUGGUUGGAGAAGGAAAUGGCAGUCCACUCCAGUACUCUUGCCUGGAGAAUUCCAAGUACAGCGAAGCCUGGUGGGCUACAGUCCAUGGGAUUGCAAAGAGUCAGACACGGCUUUGCAACUUUCACUUUCGCUUGAGAAUAUUGGAAAGAGAAUAGCUUUGGUGGAUAUCUAGCCCUUUUGAGAUGAGCAUUGAACUGAAGGAAUAUAAAGGAAAAUAACACUACUAAGGGUAGGUAUGAAAUAGUAUGAAUAUACUAUUAAAAUUGUGUCCAAAAUGUAUUAGUCUGUUAACAAAACCCAGU
Molecule: long non-coding RNA, 396 nt
Filed under: Capra hircus (goat)
Lineage: Eukaryota; Metazoa; Chordata; Mammalia; Artiodactyla; Bovidae
Description: lncRNA (ENSCHIG00000007102.1)
Source: RNAcentral